This is a long non-coding RNA of Amphiprion ocellaris (clown anemonefish), 2234 nucleotides long. The record is from Ensembl. NCBI's taxonomy places the organism in Eukaryota, Metazoa, Chordata, Actinopteri, Pomacentridae.
GUGAUCACCUGCAUGGUCCACGUGGUUGUGUGUAAUAAUAGUGAGGUGGCUGCAGAUACUGAUAUUAAAUAACUGAUGUAGAGUGAACAGCAUUUUCAGAGAUGAAAUAAUAUUUAUUUUUUCUUUGAAGUGACACUCAGGCUAAACUAAGCUCAUGACUAAUGAACCGCUUCAGUGUUUUUUCACUCAUUUGCCGCUGUUUUGGGAAUGAAGUUGGACUAACUUGUGUGGUUUUGAAACUUCUGCCCACACGCAGUAUGAAUAAUGAAAUGAAAUGGUUUUUCAUUUAGAUUAUCAAACUAAUAACUUCUAAAUAGGGGGAAAAUGAGAAUACAAAUCAGGCUUUUUUUGUACUCAAGUGAAAGUGUUCAUCUCUAAAUGUCAUCUUUGCAAUUCAAAAUCAUUUCUGUAUUAACCAGAAGUAAAAAUAAUCUCACCUCAAGGUCCAGGUCAGAAGCUGAACUGUUAUGGAGCUUUAAUAUUAUAUCACAAACCAUCCCUUAGCAGAUGUCUAUUCCUCCUGUGUUUGCUAAAUGUUCAAAAUAUUACAGAGGUCAAGAAUAAACUUUAAAUUCAAAGCCAACAUGUAUAAGUAGUCUUAAAGUUCUGAAAUGAAAAUAAUGAUUUGCUCUAACAGCUCUCUACUUAAAGGACCUUGACUUGGCGAUUCAACAGUUUAUCCACAUUGUGCUGAAAUAUCAGAGUCUCACUGAGUUGAGGAUUCAUUUUAGGAGGGGGAUCACAUCAAAGCCUGUUCGCAGGUGUUGGGGAAUGUGAAAAAUGUGUCUUUUGUGGCUCCAGAGGGGCAAAAAAUAUCCCUUGAAUGGAGUCAGAAGAGUACCAAUUAGAAAAUGAAAAACAGUGAGCAUGUCGGUGUGGCGUUACAGAAGAAAUGAGCUCAGCAGACCUCUGCAGUCGGCUCGAGGCUACAGUCAAAGUAGUCGGUGGUCCUGUGGUUUGGUUCACUGUCAAACUCAUCUGUGACUGUUGGCUUGCGAGGUCCGGAUAAAUACUAUUAAUGGUGAAAUCAGCAAGUUUUCUGCAAAAACACUGACACCCAAACCCCAAUGUUCAUUCACUGGAUGGAGAAAAGGAAAACAACAGAGUGCUGACCUGUUUAUUUUUACAGUUACCGUCAAAAAAGUCAGAAGUUGGCCAUUGUACCUAAAAAUUUUGGCAAUGGAAGCGUGAAAGUUAAAGACGGUUAGUCUCUGAGUGGGUACAGUAACAGAGCAUCAUCACUGUGGGGUUUUUAAACUUCCUGGUGUUCCAGGUGUGAUGAUACUGAGCAGAACUUCAUUCUCAGUCGCACUUAACGCUUCCAAACUAAGCUUUGUUAUACAACCUUUUGGAUAAGUUUCAUUCAUGUGUGUGAACAUUUGUAGAACAGCAGGACUAAUACCUGCUUAAUAAAACACAGUCAUAACAUUUCUCUGCUUCCUUUUAAACCAACUAGUAUUAAAAAGUGCGUCUACAAUGUGUUAGAUGCACGUAGAGCUAUGAGGACUACUUUAGUUCUUAAAAUGUCCUUGAAUCUACAGCAGAUUAGAUUCUUUUGAAAUGUCUAUACUUCAGUUGCUUUUGAGACGGUUAAUUGGACUCAGAAAAAAUGUCUCCACUUUGCUUUAGACGAAUACGAUGAGGACUCCUACAGUAAAAACAUGGUUUACGGACCAUGCGUGUUCUGCCUUAGGCUGCCAGAGAAGAGAGACGUCACACACUCAGGACUGAGAAUUACAGCUGUUAUGUUGCACAUUGAUAAUAAUAUAAUUUUAUAAAUAUGAGCUUAAUGCUGUCUUUAAUAAAUGUUUUUUCUUGUGCUCUAGAGUAAUUGCUGCAUUACUGUUUGUGCUGCAGUGUUGCUUUUUAACCUUUAAGAGUGUGUUGUGUAGUGUAAUAUUUUCUUGAUGCAAUAUACUAAAAGUAAAAGAUUAUAUAUUUAUGGCAAAUGCUAUUAAAAUUGAAGAACAGAGUUGAGACACGUGAAUGAACUACCUAAUAAUGAAGGCUCUAGUAAUCACUGAUGUUGGUGAUGACAUUGUGUGUAUGUCUGUGGAAGACACACACACACACACACACACACACACACACACAGCUAGAAGAUCAUAAAGUAAAACAUGUUUUUGGUGUAAAGACAGUUCACAUGCUUUUUAGAAAGUGAUACAUGGAGUACUCAAAACAUAAUGGUGUAUAUGUGAGUUAUUAUAACUUUUAAACUACAUUAGAAACAUAAC